GGGUUGUGAGGUUAAGCGACUAAGCGUACACGGUGGAUGCCCUGGCAGUCAGAGGCGAUGAAGGACGUGCUAAUCUGCGAUAAGCGUCGGUAAGGUGAUAUGAACCGUUAUAACCGGCGAUUUCCGAAUGGGGAAACCCAGUGUGUUUCGACACACUAUCAUUAACUGAAUCCAUAGGUUAAUGAGGCGAACCGGGGGAACUGAAACAUCUAAGUACCCUGAGGAAAAGAAAUCAACCGAGAUUCCCCCAGUAGCGGCGAGCGAACGGGGAGCAGCCCAGAGCCUGAAUCAGUAUGUGUGUUAGUGGAAGCGUCUGGAAAGGCGCGCGAUACAGGGUGACAGCCCCGUACACAAAAAUGCACAUGCUGUGAGCUCGAUGAGUAGGGCGGGACACGUGGUAUCCUGUCUGAAUAUGGGGGGACCAUCCUCCAAGGCUAAAUACUCCUGACUGACCGAUAGUGAACCAGUACCGUGAGGGAAAGGCGAAAAGAACCCCGGCGAGGGGAGUGAAAAAGAACCUGAAACCGUGUACGUACAAGCAGUGGGAGCACAGAGCAAUCUGUGUGACUGCGUACCUUUUGUAUAAUGGGUCAGCGACUUAUAUUCUGUAGCAAGGUUAACCGAAUAGGGGAGCCGAAGGGAAACCGAGUCUUAACUGGGCGUUAAGUUGCAGGGUAUAGACCCGAAACCCGGUGAUCUAGCCAUGGGCAGGUUGAAGGUUGGGUAACACUAACUGGAGGACCGAACCGACUAAUGUUGAAAAAUUAGCGGAUGACUUGUGGCUGGGGGUGAAAGGCCAAUCAAACCGGGAGAUAGCUGGUUCUCCCCGAAAGCUAUUUAGGUAGCGCCUCGUGAAUUCAUCUCCGGGGGUAGAGCACUGUUUCGGCAAGGGGGUCAUCCCGACUUACCAACCCGAUGCAAACUGCGAAUACCGGAGAAUGUUAUCACGGGAGACACACGGCGGGUGCUAACGUCCGUCGUGAAGAGGGAAACAACCCAGACCGCCAGCUAAGGUCCCAAAGUCAUGGUUAAGUGGGAAACGAUGUGGGAAGGCCCAGACAGCCAGGAUGUUGGCUUAGAAGCAGCCAUCAUUUAAAGAAAGCGUAAUAGCUCACUGGUCGAGUCGGCCUGCGCGGAAGAUGUAACGGGGCUAAACCAUGCAC
Molecule: ribosomal RNA, 1163 nt
Filed under: Escherichia coli
Lineage: Bacteria; Pseudomonadati; Pseudomonadota; Gammaproteobacteria; Enterobacterales; Enterobacteriaceae
Description: partial 23S ribosomal RNA
Rfam family: Bacterial large subunit ribosomal RNA
Source: RNAcentral